AACAAGGCGUACCUGCGGACCUGCGGAGGGAUCAUUACACAAAUGAAAAUAUGAAGGCCCUUCAAACCGGCUGGAUUAUUUUUCUUCACCCUUGUCUUUUGCGCACUUGUUGUUUCCUGGGCGGGUUCGCUCGCCACCAGGACCACACCAUAAACCUUUUUGUUAAUGCAAUCAGCGUCAGUAAAAAGUAAUAAUUAUUUUACAACUUUUAACAAUGGAUCUCAGAUCGGAAGAGCACAC
Molecule: unclassified non-coding RNA, 240 nt
Filed under: soil metagenome
Description: partial contains 5.8S ribosomal RNA, internal transcribed spacer 2, and large subunit ribosomal RNA
Source: RNAcentral